Molecule: long non-coding RNA, 1483 nt
Organism: Helianthus annuus (common sunflower)
Lineage: Eukaryota; Viridiplantae; Streptophyta; Magnoliopsida; Asterales; Asteraceae
Exons: 3
Source: RefSeq, a predicted model, not a curated record
CAAAGUCGGUGGGUUUACCACCAGCUUUGCCUCCCCUUCUUCUUCCUCUGCACAAAUAUAACAAACCAAACUCUUACAAAUAUGCAACCUCCUCUCCUCAACCAAAUCAAGAACACAACAAUCUCUACAAAUCUUCAAAUAUGCUUACAAUUCAACAACAAUCUCUACAAAAACAUAACCCAACUCUACAAUCCACCUUCGAACAAAACUACAAAAACAUAAGCAACCUCCUCUCCUCAACCAGAUCAAGAACACUCCGUGAGGGAAUACAACUCCAUGCUCAAAUAAUCAAACUAGGGCUCCAAACAAUACCACUCAUUUCCCACUAUUUAAUCAAUUUCUACUCCAAAACCAAGCUCCCGAUCGACUCACAACAAGUUUUUGAAGAAACCCAUAUCAAAUCAUCAACCACUUGGAGUUCUGUUAUCUCAUCUUUCGCCCAGAACGAACUCCCGGUUCUUGCGUUACAAUAUUUCAAAAAAAAAAAAAUGAUUGCUUUUGGUCUUCGUCCUGUUGAUCAUAUAGUUCCCAGUGCUACUAAAGCACAUCAGUUGCGAUUCUUUCGAGUUGGUGUGUGCAUUGUUAUGCGGUGAAGAUUGCUUACGAUGCCGAUGUGUUUGUUGCGAGUUAGGUGGUGGAUGUGUAUGCUAAAUGUGGGAGGAAUGGAGAUGCGCGUAAGGUGUUUGAUGAAAUGCCUGUGAGGAAUGUGGUGUCUUGGAAUGGGAUGAUUUAUGGGUAUGCUCAGUUGUUUAAACAAGCUUUGUUUGAGAGAUUUGAGGUUAAUGAUUUUACGUUUACGAGUGUUAUUAGAGUUUGCGGUAACACAACGCUUCUCGGGUUGGGAAAACAGUUACACAGAUUGUGUUUAAAAUUGAUCUUUGGUUCGUCUAGCUUUGUCGGGAGUUCUUUGAUUUCUGCUACAAUAAAUAUUAUAUGAAUAAUAAAGCUACCAAAAAUGAGUAUCGCAAUGCGAUAUGUCGCUCGCCAUUUUACAGACAAAGAGGAAGAAGAACAGUAAAAGUGGCUGAAUGGAGCACGGCGUAUUGCGUCCCGCAGAUAGGAGUCAUAUCGGACGACAUAUAUCUCUUUCGAAAUUCAUAAGGUUCGGUCAACGAAGCUCUCUGGUGGUCUUUGUCUAGCAACAUCAUAUCAGGUAUUUUGUAGUUUCAAGAUGUGGUCAAACAUACACACUUUUCCAGAUACGGGUCACUGUUAUCGUCACCACCAGAUAUCCACGCUUUGCGUUCACCGACUCCUCCCAACCUUCGACGGCAUACAUAGUCAGUGUUAGCAACAAGCGGGAUUUUGGCAUCAAUAACAAAACUGGGAUUGACUACAGAGCUAAUUAACAAAGGCAAUAACUUUUGUAUUAAAAAAGAAAGAGACAUAGACUAAUGUUAAAAGAAUAUAAAGUAUGUAAACUAUAGUUUUUAAUAUAAUGCAAUCGACUCUACUUAAUGAAGCCUAAUGAACACGUAAUACG